RNAcentral lists this ribosomal RNA (789 nucleotides) under Curculionidae sp. NZAC 03011820. RNAcentral's name for it is "eukaryotic LSU rRNA". It matches the Rfam family "Eukaryotic large subunit ribosomal RNA", at positions 396 to 944 of the family's 3401-position model. The record is from RNAcentral. Lineage: Eukaryota; Metazoa; Arthropoda; Insecta; Coleoptera; Curculionidae.
UACGUGAAACCGUUUAGGGGUAAACCUGAGAAACCCGAAAGGUCGAAGGGAGAAAUUCAUUCGCGUUUCGCCGUCGGCGGGAGGCGGUCGUGCGACGGAAGACGCGUUCGCGCGCGUCAUCCGCGCCCUCCGUUUUCGGAUCCGAAGGCGAACGCGUGCACUUUUCUCUCGGUAGGACGUCGCGAUCCGUCGGGCGUCGGUCUACGGCUCGCGGUGGAGACCGGGCGCGCGUUCACGCGCGCGCCAGGACCCGCUUGUCCCGGCCGACCCGCUCGACGGUAGGCGAACGGUCAAGGGCCGCUCCUUGCGAGCGUUCGGCCCGUCGCAAGCGCGUCAGACGUAUCGGCGAUCGGACCUCGUGCCGGUUCCGAUCUCUGGCGACUGUUGGCGGCGGACGUCUCGAACAGACCUCUGACCGAUCCGCGACGCUAUAGCUUUGGGUACUUUCAGGACCCGUCUUGAAACACGGACCAAGGAGUCUAGCAUGUGCGCGAGUCAUUGGGAUCAACUAAACCCAAAGGCGCAAUGAAAGUGAAGGUCCGCCUCGCGCGGACUGGGGGAGGAACGGGCGGUCCGCCCUUAAAAGCGGCCGCCUCGCACUCCCGGGGCGUCUCGUUCUCAUCGCGAGAAGAGGCGCACCGAGAGCGUACACGCUGGGACCCGAAAGAUGGUGACCUAUGCCUGAUCAGGACGAAGUCAGGGGAAACCCUGAUGGAGGUCCGUAGCGAUUCUGACGUGCAAAUCGAUCGUCGGAAUUGGGUAUAGGGGCGAAAGACUCAUCGAACCAUC